UCCAAGCGCCGUCGGCGCCACCACUCCAGACACUGUUCACGAGGCCUCAAAGCGUGGAGGCGGUGGCCCGGGGCCGACUCUCGGGUGACCGCCAAUUUGGUCCCAAGACACUUCAGGAUCUCGCAACGGAUGGAGGACAGCGCGGUUCCAAGAGAGGGCGCCAAAGGCGACGCGCUGGCGGCCAGCUCCAAGCCAACCAGGCCCAUUGCGUCCGUCUGCAGGAACCUGUCCCUUCACCCUGCUUUGGACACUGAGCUUCGGAGGAUCUGGCUGCGAGCUGAUUCAACGCCAGGGCGCCGCCUAGAGGACAAGAGGGGAUAUAAACUGUUUGAAGUUCAUCAGCACGGUGAAGUUUUAUUGUAUUUCCGGUCCCUAAAAGAGAAGCCGGCAGCCAGGCAGACUCCCUCCUUAUCUCCGAGUUUCCACGCCAGGGACACACACGUGGCCAAGCGGACACUUGCCUUCGGGAGCAGGGAGGGAGAGAGCCCGCUCCGAUCGACUCUCCCUCACCGGCUCAGGUAAGUCUAAGAGGCCUCUGAUAGUUGUGGCAUCAACUGAGCCACAACCUGUGAGGAUGUGCGAAGUGACUUUGUAGGGAUGGAAGAGAGCGGGAGACA
Long non-coding RNA from Mus musculus (house mouse), 617 nucleotides. RefSeq annotates it as predicted gene 53. The transcript has 3 exons. The record is from RefSeq and is marked validated. NCBI's taxonomy places the organism in Eukaryota, Metazoa, Chordata, Mammalia, Rodentia, Muridae.